Molecule: ribosomal RNA, 429 nt
Filed under: Eimeria jerfinica
Lineage: Eukaryota; Apicomplexa; Conoidasida; Eucoccidiorida; Eimeriidae
Description: SSU rRNA
Rfam family: Eukaryotic small subunit ribosomal RNA
Source: RNAcentral
UUCGAGGUAGUGACGAGAAAUAACAAUACAGGGCAUUUUAUGCUCUGUAAUUGGAAUGAUGGGAAUGUAAAACCCUUCCAGAGUAACAAUUGGAGGGCAAGUCUGGUGCCAGCAGCCGCGGUAAUUCCAGCUCCAAUAGUGUAUAUUAGAGUUGUUGCAGUUAAAAAGCUCGUAGUUGGAUUUCUGUCGUGGUCAUCCGGCUCCGCCCGUAUGGGUGUGCGCCUGGUUUGCCCUCGGCUUUCUUCCGGUAGCCUUCCGCGCUUCACUGCGUGUGUUGGUGUUCUGGAACUUUUACUUUGAGAAAAAUAGAGUGUUUCAAGCAGGCUUGUCGCCCUGAAUACUUCAGCAUGGAAUAAUAAGAUAGGACCUUGGUUCUAUUUUGUUGGUUUCUAGGACCAAGGUAAUGGUUAAUAGGGACAGUUGGGGGCA